This is a long non-coding RNA of Bubalus bubalis (water buffalo), 791 nucleotides long. RefSeq lists it as uncharacterized. The transcript is spliced from 3 exons. The record is from RefSeq and is a predicted model, not a curated record. Lineage: Eukaryota; Metazoa; Chordata; Mammalia; Artiodactyla; Bovidae.
UGGCCCUUAGGUAGGCUUCUUCCCCUGUCUGGGCUCCAGUGUUACCAUAUAAUAUGGAGGGGGUGGGUUCAGUGCCCUCUGAGAGUCUGUGAUGCUGUGAGCUCAAAACUGACGGUCAUGGGACCAGUCUUCACGGCUGCACUCAAAGAAGCCACCGCUGUUCUCCAUCAUUCUCUCUCCCCAGCACAUUCACACCAGCCCACGGCAGCCAAUGUCUAGUCUACAGCCAGGCAAGGAGCCUGAAGGCCCCAUUCAGGAAAAUGAUGGGGCUCUGGAUCACAAAAGCUUGCAGAGCUGUGCUGUCAAGCUGGCUGGGCCUCCUGACCCCCAAAACAGCAAAUCUGGAUGGUCUUGACUCAACCUGGGCCUCUGAGAGCUAAAAUGGAUCCUCCUCUCACCCUGCCCCAGCACACCCUCCAUAACAAGGCCGAUCAGCUUCCUGCAAGGAGCAUCCUUUCGGGACAGUGCUUCAGGACACUGCCGGAUCUACUUACGCAGAUCCUUUUAAAGACACAUUGCUGGAUGGCUUUCCUUCUCGAGACACCCUCCCCCAAAGACAGAGCAAUAUUCCUCACCUGUGUGAUUUAUAACACAAGCAAAUUAGUAACAGAUGCUGGCAGUGAGCGGCUUACUCCGUUUUAUCUCUUUUCCCCCUUUCACUGAAUCAAGGCUGGUGGUAAACAGGCCAGCCCGGCCGCUAUCAAGCACAGGAAGAAGGAUGCCAUUUCCCCGCCGGGGGGGGCAUGAAAGCUAAAUCCACAGGCGCGCUCUGGGGCUGCCUGGGGGCCAAG